Molecule: long non-coding RNA, 885 nt
Filed under: Olea europaea subsp. europaea
Lineage: Eukaryota; Viridiplantae; Streptophyta; Magnoliopsida; Lamiales; Oleaceae
Source: RNAcentral
CAUCACCUAACCACACAUAGUACCACCGUCAAACACCACCAUUGCCAGAGCAACCUCUAUCACAUCACGACAAUCGAUCAUCACCAUUGCAUAUAGCUAGAGCCACCACCACUGCACACAUUACCACACCACGUACUGCACGCACUCAACCACUCACCGCCAUUGCACCUACAACAACACAGCACCAUGCCACCACCGCACCGCACACCUCCACUUCUAUCUCUACCACACCACUAGCCACACAGUACCAUACCACCACUGGAGACGGCACCACACCACCCACAGCACCACAGUAGCACAUCAACACCGCAGCCACCAGAGAUCUUCAUUUCCACAACCGCAUCGCACACCUCCACCACUGAAACGUUAAUCAUCAGACCACGGAAAAAUUUAAAAAAGGAAGAAGAAUGGAUCUGCAUCGUGCAACUCAACAAAGUGAGUGCCAUGAGUAGGCACCAAAGUGGGGGAAAUAAAGUAGUGGAGAGAUUUGUAGUGCCACCCCAGAGAUCUGUAGCGAAAACCACCUUAAAAAAAAAAAAAACAAACAAAGGCGGCGAUGAGUGCUGCUGAUUUAAGGAAAAGGCGAUGAAUGUGCAACGCUAUGGGAUUGUGGCUUGCGUUGAACUGUGAUGACGGUGUCUUCGAUGACGACGACAGGCACGCGUGGUGUUGUAGCCAGUAAGUAACUAGAGAGAGAAAGUGAGAGAUUAGGGAGAGAGUGUGUUAUAAUUAAUUUUGAUUGAUUAUUAAUAUUAUAUUUUUGAUUGAUUAUUGAUAUUGUAUUUAAAGAUGAAACUUAAAAUAGAAACAAUAAGAACAAUAAAGAUCAAUAUGAUACAAAUCUACUGUUGAGGGGUGGCAAUUUCAAUAGUAGUUGUUGUGCCU